This is a long non-coding RNA of Pseudophryne corroboree (corroboree frog), 1395 nucleotides long. RefSeq lists it as uncharacterized. The transcript is spliced from 4 exons. The record is from RefSeq and is a predicted model, not a curated record. Lineage: Eukaryota; Metazoa; Chordata; Amphibia; Anura; Myobatrachidae.
GGGGCAGCUCGCUCCCCCCAAACAUAAGACAGGCGCCGAUUCUGGUGCAGGGGGGGGGGCAAGGGGGCAGCUCGCUCCCCCCAAACAUAAGACAGGCGCCGAUUCUGGUGCAGAAGAGCAGCUAGGUGAAGUACUGCUGCCGCACUCAGUCAGUGUGUACCCGACCACAACAUGCACCCACGGGAACACUGCUUCCUCUGCUAGACUGUCGUCGGUGCAGGUAUGCGGCUGCCAUGGCCCCGGACUGCCUUCAGGGGCCGCCGCUCCACCUGCACCCGGUCACACUACGCUGCAUCUCCCCCUCCCCUGCGCCGGAGAUCUGAGCAGCCCGACUUCUCAAGCGGCCCCGGCACCCUCUCUCUCCUCCAGCAACGCCGCUCCGCGCUCCGUGGUGGGUGAAGCAGAGGUCGGUCUCUGCAUCUCAUUACCGGGGCACAUGUUCCUGGAGUGCCCUCCUCGAGUUACCUCCAGCCUCACAAUACCGUCCAAGCAGCCGCGGCGUCAUGGUGCUGCGUGGGAGCUGGCAUACUGAUCCUUCGCUGACCUCCUCUUUGGCCUGUGCCUAGGUCAGCGGUCCUCCCUCACCGACACUCCAAGCUUGAGUUACACAACACAGUGGAGGAAUAAUAAGGAGGAAGAAUGCUGCGUGAGAGAUGAAAAGUGAAGGUCACUGAAGGGAUGUGCAUUGCUAAAGUUCAUAUGAGGUGAUACGAAUGCAUCUGGCAACAGCAAUUAGUAUGACCUGGAGAGGAGGAUAGGCACAUAAAUGACAACCCAACAUUACAGACAAAAUAAAAAUGGAGCUAACUGGAUGUACAGAACUAUCAUUGGCAAAUACAUUGGUGACUGAUUACCUGUCUCAUAAUAUGCCUUUAGUCUACAAACUCAUAUAUUGUUCAUUGGUUUCUCUGAAGGUACCCAAAUUCCUAUUGCUUUUGGGAGAGAAGCCACAGCAUUUGUCCUACUAUCACUCUGGAACAUGCUGCAGAAUUCAUUGAAAUUGAGUACUACUGUUAAUAUUACCCUCUAUCAAACAGGGAUGUCCCCAGGUUUGUGUGUAAAGAAUGAAAGAGAUAGAGGACAUUGUGUUGCCAUAUCCCAUAACCUACAUUAUGGGAAAAAGAUUCAGUAGUGCAAUGUAGUACCGAUGCACUCAGUGACAUCAUUGCACAUGGACAAAAUGACAUCACUAUUGUGCCGCCUUAUCCCCAGCAUUACUGAUUACUGGUGGUGCAAAGUAUUUUUUUUUUUCUUUGCAUCACUUCACUGUCUUACUGGACCCCUAAUGUAGGUUUUACUUGUACUAUUGUACACUUGCAUUGAAUGCCUAUCUGUAAUUAAAUGUUUACAUUUAUUGUUAUAGACUUAAGGCAGAAUUUGAUCAAUAGUGUCUGC